Drosophila albomicans is the source of this 163-nucleotide long non-coding RNA. RefSeq lists it as uncharacterized. The record is from RefSeq and is a predicted model, not a curated record. The transcript has 4 exons. Lineage: Eukaryota; Metazoa; Arthropoda; Insecta; Diptera; Drosophilidae.
GUAACUUAAAAUGAGUUUAACCUAGUGAGUGGUUUGUGCCUCGACUGAGUAAUUCACGCCUUAAAUAGAAUUGGAUUAGCGCCUCAAAACUUCCAGUUCAAUCGACGUUUUCUUUGAACACCAAUUUGAGAUUUUUUUACUAUUUCCUUUAUCUAUUAUUUGG